RNAcentral lists this ribosomal RNA (806 nucleotides) under uncultured organism. RNAcentral's name for it is "bacterial SSU rRNA". It matches the Rfam family "Bacterial small subunit ribosomal RNA", at positions 527 to 1334 of the family's 1533-position model. The record is from RNAcentral.
GAAGGGACCCAGCGUAGUUCGGAAUUACUGGGCUUAAAGAGUUCGUAGGUGGUUGAAAAAGUUGGUGGUGAAAUCCCAGAGCUUAACUCUGGAACUGCCAUCAAAACUUUUCAGCUAGAGUAUGAUAGAGGAAAGUAGAAUUUCUAGUGUAGAGGUGAAAUUCGUAGAUAUUAGAAAGAAUACCAAUUGCGAAGGCAGCUUUCUGGAUCAUUACUGACACUGAGGAACGAAAGCAUGGGUAGCGAAGAGGAUUAGAUACCCUCGUAGUCCAUGCCGUAAACGAUGUGUGUUAGACGUUGGAAAUUUAUUUUCAGUGUCGCAGCGAAAGCAAUAAACACACCGCCUGGGGAGUACGACCGCAAGGUUAAAACUCAAAUGAAUUGACGGGGACCCGCACAAGUAGUGGAGCAUGUGGUUUAAUUCGAAGAUACGCGCAGAACCUUACCAACACUUGACAUGUUCGUCGCGACUCUAAGAGAUUAGAGUUUUCGGUUCGGCCGGACGAAACACAGGUGCUGCAUGGCUGUCGUCAGCUCGUGUCGUGAGAUGUUGGGUUAAGUCCCGCAACGAGCGCAACCCUCACUUUUAGUUGCCAUCAUUUAGUUGGGCACUCUGAAAGAACUGCCAGUGAUAAGCUGGAGGAAGUGGGGGAUGACGUCAAGUCCUCAUGGCCCUUACGUGUUGGGCUACACACGUGCUACAAUGGUAUCUACAACAGGAAGCGAGACGGCAACGUUAAGCAAAUCCCGAAAAGAUACCUCAGUUCGGAUUGCACUCUGCAACUCGAGUGCAUGAACUGGAUACUA